RNAcentral lists this ribosomal RNA (484 nucleotides) under uncultured bacterium. RNAcentral describes it as "partial 16S ribosomal RNA". It matches the Rfam family "Bacterial small subunit ribosomal RNA", at positions 30 to 507 of the family's 1533-position model. The record is from RNAcentral.
AUUGAACGCUGGCGGCAGGCCUAACACAUGCAAGUCGAGCGGAUGAAGGGAGCUUGCUCCUGGAUUCAGCGGCGGACGGGUGAGUAAUGCCUAGGAAUCUGCCCGGUAGUGGGGGAUAACGUCCGGAAACGGGCGCUAAUACCGCAUACGUCCUGAGGGAGAAAGUGGGGGAUCUUCGGACCUCACGCUAUCAGAUGAGCCUAGGUCGGAUUAGCUAGUUGGUGGGGUAAAGGCCUACCAAGGCGACGAUCCGUAACUGGUCUGAGAGGAUGAUCAGUCACACUGGAACUGAGACACGGUCCAGACUCCUACGGGAGGCAGCAGUGGGGAAUAUUGGACAAUGGGCGAAAGCCUGAUCCAGCCAUGCCGCGUGUGUGAAGAAGGUCUUCGGAUUGUAAAGCACUUUAAGUUGGGAGGAAGGGCAGUAAGUUAAUACCUUGCUGUUUUGACGGUACCAACAGAAUAAGCACCGGCUAACUUCGUG